This 73-nucleotide transfer RNA is filed under the name Vulpes vulpes (red fox). It matches the Rfam family "tRNA". Rfam says of the family: Transfer RNA (tRNA) molecules are approximately 80 nucleotides in length. Their secondary structure includes four short double-helical elements and three loops (D, anti-codon, and T loops). RNAcentral also lists the same sequence under 2 other names. Lineage: Eukaryota; Metazoa; Chordata; Mammalia; Carnivora; Canidae. The record is from Rfam by way of RNAcentral.
GCCUGGCUGGCUCAGUCGGUAGAGCAUGUGACUCUUGAUCUCAGGGUCUUGAGUUCAAGCCCCAUGUUGGGCA